UCGGGAAUUUUGGGCAAUGGGCGAAAGCCUGACCCAGCAACGCCGCGUGAGGGAUGAAGUAUUUCGGUAUGUAAACCUCGAAAGAAUGGGAAGAAUAAAUGACGGUACCAUUUAUAAGCUCCGGCUAACUACGUGCCAGCAGCCGCGGUAAUACGUAGGGAGCAAGCGUUGUUCGGAUUUACUGGGCGUAAAGGGCGCGUAGGCGGCGCGGUAAGUCACUUGUGAAAUCUCUGAGCUUAACUCAGAACGGCCAGGUGAUACUGCUGUGCUAGAGUGCGGAAGAGGCAACCGGAAUUCUUGGUGUAGCGGUGAAAUGCGUAGAUAUCAAGAGGAACACCUGAGGCGAAGGCGGGUUGCUGGGCCGACACUGACGCUGAUGCGCGAAAGCCAGGGGAGCAAACG
Molecule: ribosomal RNA, 402 nt
Filed under: uncultured bacterium
Lineage: Bacteria
Description: bacterial SSU rRNA
Rfam family: Bacterial small subunit ribosomal RNA
Source: RNAcentral